GGGCCCGCACAAGCGGUGGAGUAUGUGGUUUAAUUCGAUGCAACGCGAAGAACCUUACCAGGGUUUGACAUCCUGCGAAUUUCUGGGAAAACCGGAAAGUGCCUUCGGGAGCGCAGUGACAGGUGGUGCAUGGCUGUCGUCAGCUCGUGUCGUGAGAUGUUGGGUUAAGUCCCGCAACGAGCGCAACCCACGUCUUUAGUUGCCAGCAUUUAGUUGGGCACUCUAGAGAGACCGCCGGUGAUAAACCGGAGGAAGGUGUGGAUGACGUCAAGUCAUCAUGCCCCUUACAUCCUGGGCUACACACGUACUACAAUGGCAACUACAGAGGGCAGCAAGACCGCAAGGUGGAGCCAAUCCCUAAAAGGUUGCCUCAGUUCGGAUUGGAGUCUGCAACUCGACUCCAUGAAGUUGGAAUCGCUAGUAAUCGCGGAUC
Molecule: ribosomal RNA, 433 nt
Filed under: uncultured bacterium
Lineage: Bacteria
Description: bacterial SSU rRNA
Rfam family: Bacterial small subunit ribosomal RNA
Source: RNAcentral